This 275-nucleotide ribosomal RNA is filed under the name uncultured bacterium. RNAcentral describes it as "partial 16S ribosomal RNA". It matches the Rfam family "Bacterial small subunit ribosomal RNA", at positions 399 to 691 of the family's 1533-position model. The record is from RNAcentral.
GCGUGAGUGAUGAAGGCCUUCGGGUUGUAAAGCUCUUUUGCCCGGGACGAUAAUGACGGUACCGGGAGAAUAAGCCCCGGCUAACUCCGUGCCAGCAGCCGCGGUAAUACGGAGGGGGCUAGCGUUGUUCGGAAUCACUGGGCGUAAAGCGUACGUAGGCGGCUUGCCAAGUCAGGGGUGAAAGCCUGGGGCUUAACCUCAGAACUGCCCUUGAAACUGGCUCGCUUGAACACAGGAGAGGUGAGUGGAAUUCCGAGUGUAGAGGUGAAAUUCGU